This 468-nucleotide ribosomal RNA is filed under the name uncultured bacterium. RNAcentral describes it as "partial 16S ribosomal RNA". It matches the Rfam family "Bacterial small subunit ribosomal RNA", at positions 28 to 507 of the family's 1533-position model. The record is from RNAcentral.
GACGAACGCUGGCGGCGUGCUUAACACAUGCAAGUCGAACGGAAAGGCCCUGCUUUUGUGGGGUGCUCGAGUGGCGAACGGGUGAGUAACACGUGAGUAACCUGCCCUUUACUUUGGGAUAACUUCAGGAAACUGGGGCUAAUACCGGAUAGGAGCUCCUGCUGCAUGGUGGGGGUUGGAAAGUUUCGGCGGUUGGGGAUGGACUCGCGGCUUAUCAGCUUGUUGGUGGGGUAGUGGCUUACCAAGGCUUUGACGGGUAGCCGGCCUGAGAGGGUGACCGGGCACAUUGGGAAUGAGAUACGGCCCAGACUCCUACGGGAGGCAGCAGUGGGGAAUAUUGCACAAUGGGCGGAAGCCUGAUGCAGCAACGCCGCGUGCGGGAUGACGGCCUUCGGGUUGUAAACCGCUUUCGCCUGUGACGAAGCGUGAGUGACGGUAAUGGGUAAAGAAGCACCGGCUAACUACGUG